GCGGAAGUGGCGGAACUGGCAGACGCACCAGCUUGAGGGGCUGGCGAGCCGAAGGCUCAUGGGGGUUCAAAUCCCCCCUUCCGCACCA
This 88-nucleotide transfer RNA is filed under the name Acidobacteriota bacterium. RNAcentral's name for it is "Acidobacteria bacterium tRNA-Leu". It matches the Rfam family "tRNA". From Rfam's summary of the family: Transfer RNA (tRNA) molecules are approximately 80 nucleotides in length. Lineage: Bacteria; Pseudomonadati; Acidobacteriota. The record is from RNAcentral.